Molecule: long non-coding RNA, 818 nt
Organism: Oncorhynchus tshawytscha (Chinook salmon)
Lineage: Eukaryota; Metazoa; Chordata; Actinopteri; Salmoniformes; Salmonidae
Exons: 5
Source: RefSeq, a predicted model, not a curated record
UCCUUCACCCAGUAACAAACCCGCCAGGAAACGACCAAUCAAACACGGCUCCUGGGAUGUGGAGGAUGGCCUCGAUGAUGCAUUCUCAAGCAGUAUGGAGGUAGAAGAGAUGGACACUGUCUGAGGAUACAGCUCUGAGCCCCCUGCAGCAGGAGGACCACCACCACCUCCCCCCUAGAGGACCUCAUGUCCCCGAGCAGUGACGACUCAGACUAACACAACUGCCAGACACACUGCUGUCCCCACAAAACAACCAAGGCUGCCAAAACAUACUGCUGUCCCCACAAAACAACCAAGGCUGCCAGAACAUACUGCUGUCCCCACAAAACAACCAAGGCUGCCAGACAUACUGCUGUCCCCACAAAACAACCAAGGCUGCCAGAACAUACUGCUGUCCCCACAAACCACCAGCUCUGGACAGGUCAAACAUACUGCUGCCCCCACAAACCACCAGCUCUGGACAGGUCAAACAUACUGCUGCCCCCACAAACCACCAGCUCUGGACAGGUCAAACAUACUGCUGCCCCCACAAACCACCAGCUCUGGACAGGUCAAACAUACUGCUGCCCCCACAAACCACCAGCUCUGGACAGGUCAAACAUACUGCUGCCCCCACAAACCACCAGCUCUGGACAGGUCAAACAUACUGCUGCCCCCACAAACCACCAGCUCUGGACAGGUCAAACAUACUGCUGCCCCCACAAACCACCAGCUCUGGACAGGUCAAACAUACUGCUGUCCCCACAAACCACCAGCUCUGGACAGGUCAAACAUACUGCUGUCCCCACAAACCACCAGCUCUGGACAGGUCAAACAUA